GCUUACGACCACACCGGCCUGAGUACGCCUGAUCUCGUCUGAUCUCGGAAGCUAAGCAGGGUCGGGCCUGGUUAGUACUUGGAUGGGAGAACGCCUGGGAAAACCAGGUGCUGUAAGCU
Molecule: ribosomal RNA, 119 nt
Filed under: Oncorhynchus kisutch (coho salmon)
Lineage: Eukaryota; Metazoa; Chordata; Actinopteri; Salmoniformes; Salmonidae
Source: RNAcentral